Molecule: ribosomal RNA, 917 nt
Filed under: Bacillus sp. AS5(2011)
Lineage: Bacteria; Bacillati; Bacillota; Bacilli; Caryophanales; Bacillaceae
Description: bacterial SSU rRNA
Rfam family: Bacterial small subunit ribosomal RNA
Source: RNAcentral
AGUUAGCGGCGGACGGGUGAGUAACACGUGGGCAACCUGCCUGUAAGACUGGGAUAACUUCGGGAAACCGGAGCUAAUACCGGAUAAUAUAUAGUACCUCCUGGUACUAUAUUGAAAGAUGGUUUCGGCUAUCACUUACAGAUGGGCCCGCGGCGCAUUAGCUAGUUGGUGAGGUAACGGCUCACCAAGGCAACGAUGCGUAGCCGACCUGAGAGGGUGAUCGGCCACACUGGGACUGAGACACGGCCCAGACUCCUACGGGAGGCAGCAGUAGGGAAUCUUCCACAAUGGACGAAAGUCUGAUGGAGCAACGCCGCGUGAGCGAUGAAGGCCUUCGGGUCGUAAAGCUCUGUUGUUAGGGAAGAACAAGUGCGAGAGUAACUGCUCGCACCUUGACGGUACCUAACCAGAAAGCCACGGCUAACUACGUGCCAGCAGCCGCGGUAAUACGUAGGUGGCAAGCGUUGUCCGGAAUUAUUGGGCGUAAAGCGCGCGCAGGCGGUUUCUUAAGUCUGAUGUGAAAGCCCACGGCUCAACCGUGGAGGGUCAUUGGAAACUGGGAGACUUGAGUGCAGAAGAGGAGAGUGGAAUUCCACGUGUAGCGGUGAAAUGCGUAGAGAUGUGGAGGAACACCAGUGGCGAAGGCGACUCUCUGGUCUGUAACUGACGCUGAGGCGCGAAAGCGUGGGGAGCAAACAGGAUUAGAUACCCUGGUAGUCCACGCCGUAAACGAUGAGUGCUAAGUGUUAGAGGGUUUCCGCCCUUUAGUGCUGCAGCUAACGCAUUAAGCACUCCGCCUGGGGAGUACGGUCGCAAGACUGAAACUCAAGGAAUUGACGGGGGCCCGCCACAGCGGUGGAGCAUGGUGGUUUAAUUCGAAGCAACGCGAAGACCUUACAGGUCUGACAUCCUCUUGC